This 403-nucleotide unclassified non-coding RNA is filed under the name soil metagenome. RNAcentral describes it as "partial contains 5.8S ribosomal RNA, internal transcribed spacer 2, and large subunit ribosomal RNA". The stretch from base 1 to 121 matches the Rfam family "5.8S ribosomal RNA", at positions 35 to 154 of the family's 154-position model. The record is from RNAcentral.
GAUGAAGAACGCAGCGAAAUGCGAUAAGUAAUGUGAAUUGCAGAAUUCAGUGAAUCAUCGAAUCUUUGAACGCACCUUGCGCCCUUUGGCUAUUCCGAAGGGCAUGCCUGUUUGAGUAUCAUGAACACCUCAACUCUCGUGGCUUGCCAUGAUGAGCUUGGACUUUGGGGGUUUUGCUGGCCUACGACCGGCUCCUCUCAAAUGAAUUAGCUUGCCAGUGUUUGGUGGCAUCACAGGUGUGAUAAAUAUCUACGCUUGUGGUUUUCCACCAGGUAACCUUCAGUGGAUGGAGGUUCGCUGGGGCUCAUAAACGUCUCUCCUCAGUGAGGACAGCUCUUUGAACGUUUGAUCUCAAAUCAGGUAGGACUACCCGCUGAACUUAAGCAUAUCAAUAAGCGGAGGA